GUGAUUCGAGCUCGGGGUACCUCGCGGUGCAUCUAGAUUAGAGUUUGAUCCUGGCUCAGGAUGACGCUAGCGACAGGCUUACACAUGCAAGUCGAGGGGCAGCAUAAAAGUAGCAAUACUUUGGUGGCGACCGGCGCACGGGUGAGUAACGCGUAUGCAACCUACCUAUCAGAGGGGAAUAACCCGGCGAAAGUCGGACUAAUACCGCAUAAAACAGGGGCACCGCAUGGUGAUAUUUGUUAAAGAAAUUCGCUGAUAGAUGGGCAUGCGUUCCAUUAGGUAGUUGGUGAGGUAACGGCUCACCAAGCCGACGAUGGAUAGGGGAACUGAGAGGUUGGUCCCCCACACUGGUACUGAGACACGGACCAGACUCCUACGGGAGGCAGCAGUGAGGAAUAUUGGUCAAUGGGCGGGAGCCUGAACCAGCCAAGUCGCGUGAAGGAAGAAGGAUCUAUGGUUCGUAAACUUCUUUUGCAGGGGAAUAAGUGCAGACGUGUCCUGUUUUGUAUGUACCCUGAGAUAUGAUCGGCUACUCCGU
RNAcentral lists this ribosomal RNA (538 nucleotides) under uncultured bacterium. RNAcentral's name for it is "bacterial SSU rRNA". It matches the Rfam family "Bacterial small subunit ribosomal RNA", at positions 1 to 506 of the family's 1533-position model. The record is from RNAcentral.